AUUCAUAUAUGUGUGAUACAUGCCUUGUUGUCGGAAUUAAUUUAUGCAUCACUAAAUUGCUUUUAUUUCGAACAGAAUCCUCCUCUUCCACGGACCGCACAUGAGAGGCGACCUCGCACACGAGCCGCGUGCCCAGCGCCUCGCCUUUGCCUCGCUCAAACCCUAGCCACACCAGUCUUCGCACCUUGCGAUUCAUGAUAGCGGCGUCGCGCGCGGCCCUCUCCCUCGGCCAGCGGAGACGCACGCGACCCCCUCCCAACUGGCAGCGCUAAGCACCAUGCCGCCGCCGCCCUGACGACCUCACUUCCCUCGGUGCCGGCGUUGAGUAUUGGGGUGGUGCUGGCAGUUCGACGCCCCCUCCCCACCGUACAACUCCGCCGCACCACUCACGCCCUCCUCCCGCGCGGCCCUAUGGCACGAGCAACGAACCGCCUCUGUCGUCCCAUCCACGACCACGUCCACAGGCCAGGUCAGCCUCUUUGAGUGCAGAAUGCACUAGAUCUAUUGUUCCAGGCUUUCAGGCUCUUUGAUCUGCCUCGACGCAAACUGCAGGUUAUGUGAUCGGUGUUUGUGAUGCCUUUUCAAUAAAAUAAACUGAGAUAAGGUCUACAAGAGGAACAUAGACUCUUUGGUUGGAUCACAUAUAUGCAAAAAGGUGUAUUGGCAUCCAAUACAAUUUUCUGGGCUGGUGCCUGUGAUUCUGUGAAGAUACUGCAGGCAAGUAAUAUUUUCUUAUCUAAAUUUCUAUAAUAUAUUUUAUAGACUUUGACGACGGCUGAGAAUUGCUUGUUGUCGUAAGAAGGGUCUAAUGUACAUAUGGGAUCUCUAUUACACGAAUUUCAUUUCACAAGACUCGUUGACUUCUUUUUCUUUAGUUGCAUCUCCAAAUGAGUCAUAGGUCAAUCAUGCUGGUAACUAUUUGACAUCUGGUCUUUAAUUCUCACUUACAACCUGAGAUGACAAUUCUGAACUUUGCUGCAUCUUAGUGUUUGCUGAACCUUUCUGCAUUUUAUAGAUUGUUAGUUUGUACCAUUGUUAUGUGAGGCUCAGUUGUGUCUGUUGAACUGACCGAGAAAAUAUGUCAAUAUCGUUAUCUGAUGAAAAUCAGUUGGUGCCGAAUACUAACUUGUCCUCUUUCUAGAUAACCAUGAGGGUCUGUGACCUGUAAAAUAGAUGCACUCCAGUUCUCAUGUUCUUAGUGUACAUGAUCUCCAAUUCAUAAAUUAACUGCUGCCUUGUACAGGGGAUGAUGAAGCGCAAACUUCUCAGGGAAGACAUGCUUCCAUCGAUGGCACUAAACCAGUGGCUGCUCAAUGAGUUUAUGGACCUCCUAUAACACUCCAAAUUUUUGAAAUUCAAAUUUAGUUCAAAUUUGAUUUAAUUUUGGCUCAAUUUGAAUUUUUGGGAAAUAUUAAAUAAUUUACAAAAUUAAAUAAAAUUAAAUAUAAGGUAGAAAACUUGUUCGUACGCAUUCAUGCCGCUGCAUUUAUUUUUGUUUGAUUUGUUUGCUGGUGCUUGUAUUUAUUUUGUUGGAGAAAGAAUUAAAUAGGAGAAGCAAAUUGUUUCUGAAAAUAAAAAAAAAGAAGAAAAGAAAAAGGGCAGCGCCUCCCCCUCGGCCCGCGACCGCGCGCGGCCCAAGCCGCUGCCGCGGCCCAGCACGCGCCCCGCAACCCUCCCCCCUCUCCUCUCCCGCACGGCCCAGCAGCGGCCCAGCCGCAGGGCCGCAGCGCCCCCAGCCCGCCUGCCGCCCGCAGCCGCUGACAGUGGGGCCCGCGAGUGGGUCCCACCCGUCAGGCGGGGGCGUCUUCAACC
RNAcentral lists this long non-coding RNA (1812 nucleotides) under Sorghum bicolor (sorghum). RNAcentral's name for it is "long non-coding RNA (SBIC_LNC015721)". Lineage: Eukaryota; Viridiplantae; Streptophyta; Magnoliopsida; Poales; Poaceae. The record is from RNAcentral.